This 169-nucleotide ribosomal RNA is filed under the name uncultured Rhodopseudomonas sp. Its description in RNAcentral is "partial 16S ribosomal RNA". It matches the Rfam family "Bacterial small subunit ribosomal RNA", at positions 338 to 524 of the family's 1533-position model. The record is from RNAcentral. Lineage: Bacteria; Pseudomonadati; Pseudomonadota; Alphaproteobacteria; Hyphomicrobiales; Nitrobacteraceae.
CCUACGGGAGGCAGCAGUGGGGAAUAUUGGGCAAUGGGGGAAACCCUGAUCCAGCCAUGCCGCGUGAGUGAAGAAGGCCUUAGGGUUGUAAAGCUCUUUCAGCGGGGAAGAUAAUGACGGUACCCGCAGAAGAAGCCCCGGCUAACUCCGUGCCAGCAGCCGCGGUAAU